CAGUGUAAUGCAGGAUAUUGAGGAAAAACUCUUGGUCAAUUUUUCCAGCUUAAGUAAUAUUCUUUUGAUUUUAAGGUGGUUACUAAAUAAACCCAUUUAACAUGUAACCAUGGCCCAUUGGCCCUCCCUCCACUGGGGAAUACGCCGACAAACACACUGUCCCUGAACAUAGGAAGAGCUCUAGCUGCCACAUUAGUGUUUUUUUCAAAAAAAAAAUC
Molecule: unclassified non-coding RNA, 218 nt
Filed under: Hevea brasiliensis (rubber tree)
Lineage: Eukaryota; Viridiplantae; Streptophyta; Magnoliopsida; Malpighiales; Euphorbiaceae
Source: RNAcentral